CAAUAGCGUAUAUUAAAGUUGUUGCAGUUAAAAAGCUCGUAGUUGGAUUUCUGGCGGGCGCGCCGGUCUUCCAAGUGUUGUACUGGGCGCAGUCCGCCAUCCUUGUGGAGAGGGCUCGCAUUGAGUUGCGUGUCGGAUCUGUAUCAUUUACUGUGAAAAAAUUAGAGUGUUUAAAGCAGGCUGUCGCUUGAAUACAUUAGCAUGGAAUAAUAAGAUAGGACUUCGGUCUAUUUUGUUGGUUGCGAACCGAGGUAAUGAUUAAUAGGGAUAGUUGGGGGUAUUCAUAUUUAAUUGUCAGAGGUGAAAUUCUUGGAUUUAUGAAAGAUGAACAACUGCGAAAGCAUUUACCAAGGAUGUUUUCAUUAA
This 366-nucleotide ribosomal RNA is filed under the name uncultured eukaryote. RNAcentral describes it as "partial 18S ribosomal RNA". It matches the Rfam family "Eukaryotic small subunit ribosomal RNA", at positions 592 to 976 of the family's 1831-position model. The record is from RNAcentral.